AUACUUACCUGGCAGAGGAGAUACCAUGAUCAUGAAAGUGGUUUUCCCAGGUCGAGGCUUAUCCAUUGCACUCCAGAUGUGCUGACCCCUGGGAUUUCGCAAAUGUGGGAAACUGGACUGCAUAAUUUGUGGUAGUGGGGGACUGCGUUCAUGCUUUUCCCUG
Molecule: small nuclear RNA, 163 nt
Filed under: Castor canadensis (American beaver)
Lineage: Eukaryota; Metazoa; Chordata; Mammalia; Rodentia; Castoridae
Description: U1 spliceosomal RNA (ENSCCNG00000000998.1)
Rfam family: U1 spliceosomal RNA
About the family: U1 is a small nuclear RNA (snRNA) component of the spliceosome (involved in pre-mRNA splicing). Its 5' end forms complementary base pairs with the 5' splice junction, thus defining the 5' donor site of an intron.
Source: Rfam by way of RNAcentral